This 233-nucleotide unclassified non-coding RNA is filed under the name Hevea brasiliensis (rubber tree). Lineage: Eukaryota; Viridiplantae; Streptophyta; Magnoliopsida; Malpighiales; Euphorbiaceae. The record is from RNAcentral.
GGGGAUUGGAGAAACAUAUCAAGAAACUUUGUGAACUCCAAGACUCCUACUCAAGUGGCAAGCCAUGCUCAAAAGUACUUCAUGAGGCAGCUUUCAGGAGGGAAAGACAAGAGAAGGCCAAGCAUCCAUGACAUCACUACUGUCAAUCUCACAGAGGCCACAGCAUCAGAGAAUGAGAAGUUAUCCUCACUGGAUCAGCUUUCCAAGCUUCCUUCACUGCAGAAGUCACCCUG